This 654-nucleotide long non-coding RNA is filed under the name Microcebus murinus (gray mouse lemur). RNAcentral describes it as "lncRNA (ENSMICG00000048650.1)". The record is from RNAcentral. Lineage: Eukaryota; Metazoa; Chordata; Mammalia; Primates; Cheirogaleidae.
CGGGGAGGGAGGGGAGGGAGAGAGGAAGAAGGGGUGAGAGGGAGAAACCUGCCGCCGCUCGCCGCCUCUUUGUCUGCUCCGGGACUUGGAACAAAAGGGGGAACUCUGAUGAACUCUCUUCCCUCCCUUCUCCCCCGGACGCUCGGGCAUCUCCCUCUCGCAACUUUGCAGCCGCGACUUUCUCUGCUGUCAGGCCACGGGGAAGUGUCCGAGCGCCUCGCGGACCGCAACAAGGGAAACGCCUCUGAAAAGUGCGACCAAGUGGGGAAGAAGCCAACGAUACGGAAGUCCCAAUAUAACAUCAAAUCAUUCCUGGGUGGAAAGCCAUCAAACUUCUUCAUUUGGAGUUACUUAAAAGUUAAAUUGUUGGAAUUUUUGAUGAUGCUUCCUUUAUGUGGAUUACUACAAUUUGAUCACUGGGAACUCUCCACCUUAAAGAAGACUGUUUUGCUGUCUGGAAACUCAUGCCCACCUCUGACUUCCCGCACAGUGUGACUGCAAGAGGAGAGUCAAAAUCGCUUCCCCCACAGUGUGACUUCCAGAGUUGUUAGACAUUGGGAUGUCCUUCUGAGGUGGGCUGUGGAAUGCCAUGUAAGUUUUUACUUUUUUUUUUCUGAAUGUGAUAGAUUUUCAGGUGCAGUAGGGAUGGCUUAG